GAUGAACGCUGGCGGCGUGCUUAACACAUGCAAGUCGAACGGAGUACUUACGCUGACAAAGCUUCGGCAGAGUCUUGUAAGUACUUAGUGGCGGACGGGUGAGUAACGCGUGGGUAACCUGCCUUAUACCGGGGGAUAACGUCUGGAAACGGACGCUAAUACCGCAUAAGCGCACGAUGAGGCAUCUUGUUGUGUGAAAAACUCCGGUGGUAUAAGAUGGACCCGCGUCUGAUUAGAUAGUUGGUGAGGUAACGGCCCACCAAGUCAACGAUCAGUAGCCGGCCUGAGAGGGUGAACGGCCACAUUGGGACUGAGACACGGCCCAAACUCC
RNAcentral lists this ribosomal RNA (331 nucleotides) under uncultured Lachnospiraceae bacterium. Its description in RNAcentral is "bacterial SSU rRNA". It matches the Rfam family "Bacterial small subunit ribosomal RNA", at positions 28 to 339 of the family's 1533-position model. The record is from RNAcentral. Lineage: Bacteria; Bacillati; Bacillota; Clostridia; Lachnospirales; Lachnospiraceae.